Long non-coding RNA from Mus musculus (house mouse), 2203 nucleotides. RefSeq annotates it as predicted gene, 38634. The record is from RefSeq and is a predicted model, not a curated record. The transcript has 2 exons. NCBI's taxonomy places the organism in Eukaryota, Metazoa, Chordata, Mammalia, Rodentia, Muridae.
CUGUCGGUUUUUUGCAGCUUGAGGUCUGAAAAAUCUGUCUUACACAUCCAUGUUUGUAGACACCCUUUCACUGCAGAAUAUAGUUAUAUAAAAGAGGUUCAAGAGGGAUGUUAGAGCAAUAUGUUUCAACACAAUUUUAAGUGGGAAAUAUUAAUUUAUAAAACACCCAUUGUUAAUCAAGGUAACAGGAUUUUUUUAAAUUAGGUAUUUAUUUCAUUUACUUUUCCAAUGCUAUCCCAGGUAACUGGAUUUUUUUAAAUAACCUGAUAUUUAAAACUUAUAACCAAACUAAAAUCCUAGACUAGUUGCUUUGUUGUUUGUUGUUUGUUUUGUUUUUUAAACAGAAAAUUGUUAAACUGAUAACCACAGGGAAGGAAAGGAAUGGAUAAGCCAUACUCAGUCAGCUAAGGGGUUGCAUGCUGGCUUGUGGUUUUCCGGAUGGGUGAUUUUCCUGGGUGUGAGUUGACAGGAAAGUGAGCUGUCUGUCGCCUAUAAAGGAAGUGACCAAAGCUGCCUUAGAUGUAGUGUAUAGCCUUACUGUGCUUAAGCUAAGGCAGUGAAAUGGCCCAGGACUAGGGAAGCUGACACAGGUUAGUGUGGUGUGGAUAGAGCCGGCUUUAAAAGUCCAGAUGCUUGGAUCUGGAGAGAUGGCUCAGCCUCUAAGAGCACAUACUGCCUUUACAGAGGAGUUUGGUUCCCAGCACCCACAUCAGGCAGCUUGCAACUGCUUAUAAUUUCACAUGCAUCCAUGUGCGCAUGCACGUGCGUGUAUACACACACACACACACACACACACACACACAGUUAAAAUAUAAUAAAUUAAUCUUUAAGAAGUCCAGAUGCUGUGUCAGGGUACUCUACCUAGUACACUAAGGAUGCUGGGUGGCUGUAGCACUUGGGCUGCACACGGUGAUCUGUGUGCUCUUCCCCAGACACUGCAGUGUUGUUGAGAAAGCUGCUCAGUGCAUCUAAGUGGCUACAAUCUGCUAGAAAUGCAUCUGCAAAUAGACUCAGCCCACACAGAAUGCAGAUUCCAGCAAUGCAGACAGGCACCUGACGCACCAGUAAUUACGAUUAAGUUGACAGACACUACGGAGAAGUAGUGGACGCUGUGGAAACGCCUGGGGACUCAGGAGAGGCAUCUUCGAGGAUGUGAUUCUCCCCAGGCAGAGGUUCCCUGUGGCCGAUAGGCGGGGUCUCCUGGGCUCAGAGAGCAGCAGGUCUCUCCUGAGGUACAGAUGUGACACGGGAAGUAGUCGCCUCAGAGACCAAUAGCACUCACAGCCCUGGCUCUAAGCUUAAUUACAAGUAAACAAAUAAAGAACUUUGUGUUCCUGUGAUCCCUGGAAUUUCAGUCUCCAUGAGGCUGGAGACCUCCGUCUGUUGUUUGCCGCCAUAGUCACCAGGGCCUAGACCUUGGUGACCCAGGAUUCUCAGGUAGAUCCUUAGUGAGACGGUCGACAGACUACAGAAAUUGGGAAAGUGACUGGGGACGGGGCUACAGUGCUUAGUCAGGCUCCAUUCUUCACAACCUUAUAGCUCACGCUCAGAAUUUUGUUUUUAGUCAAAAAAAUUGGACAGUCACUGAAAGAUUUAAAGUAUGGCAUUAAAUAGUUCUGGCUGUAGAGCAAAGAAAUACAUAGGGAAGGAAAAUGAACAGAGGGCUAAGAAGCCAUUGUCAUAGUCCAGGUGAGAGGUAGGGAGCUUAGAAUAUGAAGACAGUAGGGUUGAAGAGAGGUGGACAGAGGUGCAAGGCCUCAGGUAGAUAAGGGUGUAAGGCCUCAGGGAAACAAGGGUGCAAGGCCUCAGGUAGACAGGGGUGAGAGGCCUCAGGUAGGCAGGGGUGAGAGGCCUCAGGUAGACAGGGGUGCAAGGCCUCAGGUAGGCAGGGGUGAGAGGCCUCAGGUAGACAGGGGUGCAAGGCCUCAGGUAGGCAGGGGUGAGAGGCCUCAGGUAGGCAGGGGUGAGAGGCCUCAGGUAGGCAGGGGUGAGAGGCCUCAGGUAGGCAGGGGUGAGAGGCCUCAGGUAGACAGAGGUACACAGCCUCAGGUAGGCAGGAGUGCAUGCCUGACAUGGGACAGAGUGGUGGACUAGAUGUGAGAAGACCCCCAGGCUCACAUCUGACUUUAAAUUGUCAUUUGUUCCUUAUAACCUAGCUAUAUCCAAAUAAGAAUGCUGCUCAGCUGAGAGAGUUUAAAAAAAA